This 483-nucleotide ribosomal RNA is filed under the name uncultured bacterium. RNAcentral describes it as "partial 16S ribosomal RNA". It matches the Rfam family "Bacterial small subunit ribosomal RNA", at positions 30 to 506 of the family's 1533-position model. The record is from RNAcentral.
AUUGAACGCUGGCGGCAGGCCUAACACAUGCCAGUCGAGCGGAUGAAGGGAGCUUGCUCCUGGAUUCAGCGGCGGACGGGUGAGUAAUGCCUAGGAAUCUGCCUGGUAGUGGGGGAUAACGUCCGGAAACGGGCGCUAAUACCGCAUACGUCCUGAGGGAGAAAGUGGGGGAUCUUCGGACCUCACGCUAUCAGAUGAGCCUAGGUCGGAUUAGCUAGUUGGUGGGGUAAAGGCCUACCAAGGCGACGAUCCGUAACUGGUCUGAGAGGAUGAUCAGUCACACUGGAACUGAGACACGGUCCAGACUCCUACGGGAGGCAGCAGUGGGGAAUAUUGGACAAUGGGCGAAAGCCUGAUCCAGCCAUGCCGCGUGUGUGAAGAAGGUCUUCGGAUUGUAAAGCACUUUAAGUUGGGAGGAAGGGCAGUAAGUUAAUACCUUGCUGUUUUGACGUGACCAACAGAAUAAGCACCGGCUAACUUCGU